AUCAAAAAAAUAAUUAAUGGAUGCUCACUAAAAUUGAAACUAUACAGAGAUUGGUAUGGCCCCUGCGCAAAGAUAACACACAAAUUCGCGAAGCGUUCCAUAUUUAA
This is a small nuclear RNA of Suncus etruscus (white-toothed pygmy shrew), 107 nucleotides long. The record is from RefSeq and is a predicted model, not a curated record. Lineage: Eukaryota; Metazoa; Chordata; Mammalia; Eulipotyphla; Soricidae.